Molecule: long non-coding RNA, 104 nt
Organism: Perognathus longimembris pacificus (Pacific pocket mouse)
Lineage: Eukaryota; Metazoa; Chordata; Mammalia; Rodentia; Heteromyidae
Exons: 3
Source: RefSeq, a predicted model, not a curated record
UUGUUUAGUUUUGUUUUGGUUUGGACAGAUUUUCAAUUUGGACAUUUGGAGGAAUGAACAUCUUUGUUUUGUUCUGGAGGAAAGUUCUCUCCCACAAAAUGGAC